RNAcentral lists this non-coding RNA (44 nucleotides) under Schistosoma mansoni. The record is from RNAcentral. Lineage: Eukaryota; Metazoa; Platyhelminthes; Trematoda; Strigeidida; Schistosomatidae.
GUCCAGCUGACGAAUUUCAAUAGGACGAAACGCGCUUCCUGGAU